CAGUCGCCACGGGAAUACGAGGGGGGCAAGCGUUGUUCGGAAUUAUUGGGCGUAAAGGGUGCGUAGGCGGUUUGGCAAGUUUGGUGUGAAAUCUUCGGGCUCAACUUGAAGUCUGCAUCGAAAACUGCCGGGCUUGAGUAUGGGAGAGGUGAGUGGAAUUUCCGGUGUAGCGGUGAAAUGCGUAGAGAUCGGAAGGAACAUCUGUGGCGAAGGCGACUAUCUGGGCCAACACUGACACUGAGGCACGAAAGCGUGGGGAGCAAACAGGAUUAGAUACCCCUGUAGUCCCUGUCUCUUAUAC
RNAcentral lists this ribosomal RNA (301 nucleotides) under uncultured bacterium. RNAcentral's name for it is "partial 16S ribosomal RNA". It matches the Rfam family "Bacterial small subunit ribosomal RNA", at positions 509 to 807 of the family's 1533-position model. The record is from RNAcentral.